UACGUAGGGUGCGAGCGUUAAUCGGAAUUACUGGGCGUAAAGCGUGCGCAGGCGGUUGUGCAAGACAGAUGUGAAAUGCCCGGGCUUAACCUGGGAACUGCAUUUGUGACUGCAUGGCUAGAGUGUGUCAGAGGGGGGUAGAAUUCCACGUGUAGCAGUGAAAUGCGUAGAUAUGUGGAGGAAUACCGAUGGCGAAGGCAGCCCCCUGGGAUAACACUGACGCUCAUGCACGAAAGCGUGGGGAGCAAACAGG
This 253-nucleotide ribosomal RNA is filed under the name uncultured bacterium. Its description in RNAcentral is "partial 16S ribosomal RNA". It matches the Rfam family "Bacterial small subunit ribosomal RNA", at positions 524 to 776 of the family's 1533-position model. The record is from RNAcentral.